Molecule: transfer RNA, 85 nt
Filed under: bacterium
Lineage: Bacteria
Description: tRNA-Leu
Rfam family: tRNA
About the family: Transfer RNA (tRNA) molecules are approximately 80 nucleotides in length.
Source: RNAcentral
GCCGGGGUGGUGGAACUGGUAGACACAACGGACUUAAAAUCCGUUGGUGCAUAGCACCGUGACGGUUCAAAUCCGUCCCUCGGCA